GACGAACGCUGGCGGCGUGCUUAACACAUGCAAGUCGAACGCUGAAGCUUGGUGCUUGCACUGGGUGGAUGAGUGGCGAACGGGUGAGUAAUACGUGAGUAACCUGCCCUUGACUCUGGGAUAAGCCUGGGAAACUGGGUCUAAUACUGGAUACGACAUGUCACCGCAUGGUGGUGUGUGGAAAGGGUUUUACUGGUUUUGGAUGGGCUCACGGCCUAUCAGCUUGUUGGUGGGGUAAUGGCUCACCAAGGCGACGACGGGUAGCCGGCCUGAGAGGGUGACCGGCCACACUGGGACUGAGACACGGCCCAGACUCCUAUGGGAGGCAGCAGUGGGGAAUAUUGCACAAUGGGCGGAAGCCUGAUGCAGCGACGCCGCGUGAGGGAUGACGGCCUUCGGGUUGUAAACCUCUUUCAGCACGGAAGAAGCGAAAGUGACGGUACGUGCAGAAGAAGCGCCGGCUAACUACGUG
RNAcentral lists this ribosomal RNA (472 nucleotides) under uncultured bacterium. RNAcentral's name for it is "partial 16S ribosomal RNA". It matches the Rfam family "Bacterial small subunit ribosomal RNA", at positions 28 to 507 of the family's 1533-position model. The record is from RNAcentral.